UCCAAUGAAUGUUCAUCGUGUGCUCGUUGAUAACGGAAGCUCUGUCAACAUUCUUUAUUAUGGCACCUACCAGAAGCUUGGCCUCCCUGAUAAGGAUAUGAAAGUUGAGGAUGUCUAUAUUUAUGGGUUUGGUGGAGAGGCUGUAAAGGUAAAAGGAACAAUCCGGCUCCCGGUAACUCUAGGAGAAGGAACAUGCUCAGCCACUCAGGUUAUG
RNAcentral lists this long non-coding RNA (214 nucleotides) under Daucus carota (carrot). RNAcentral describes it as "long non-coding RNA (DCAR_LNC001895)". Lineage: Eukaryota; Viridiplantae; Streptophyta; Magnoliopsida; Apiales; Apiaceae. The record is from RNAcentral.